CCUACGGGUGGCAGCAGUAGGGAAUAUUGGACAAUGGGCGAAAGCCUGAUCCAGCCAUGCCGCGUGAGUGAUGAAAGCCUUCGGGUUGUAAAGCUCUUUUGGCGGGGACGAUAAUGACGGUACCCGCAGAAUAAGCCCCGGCUAACUUCGUGCCAGCAGCCGCGGUAAUACGAAGGGGGCUAGCGUUGUUCGGAAUCACUGGGCGUAAAGCGCACGUAGGCGGACUUUCAAGUCAGGGGUGAAAUCCCGGGGCUCAACCUCGGAAUUGCCUUUGAUACUGUAAGUCUCGAGUCCGGAAGAGGUGGGUGGAAUUCCUAGUGUAGAGGUGAAAUUCGUAGAUAUUAGGAAGAACACCGGUGGCGAAGGCGGCCCACUGGUCCGGUACUGACGCUGAGGUGCGAAAGCGUGGGGAGCAAACAGGAUUAGAUACCCUUGUAGUC
RNAcentral lists this unclassified non-coding RNA (440 nucleotides) under uncultured fungus. RNAcentral's name for it is "partial internal transcribed spacer 1". It matches the Rfam family "Bacterial small subunit ribosomal RNA", at positions 338 to 795 of the family's 1533-position model. Lineage: Eukaryota; Fungi. The record is from RNAcentral.